CACAUGGCAAUUCAAUGUAAAAACCAAUCAUAAUAAACAACCAUUUAAUCCAGAGAUAUAAACCUCCGCGAACCAGCCAAUUUCACCAGUGACGAUUGGAGUCAUCAGUCUGCUUUUUGAACAUCGCAAUCAUCUAGCAGAAUUCUAAGCGAGAAUUAUUUAUUGGGCAACAUCAAUGUUCAUACAGUUAACUGGGGAGUAUACCUCUGUUCCCAGUGGCUAACCUUGAUUAAGGGCAUUCUGAACCCUUUAGAAAUGAUCAUUUCUUUCACCAUCUCCUAGAAUCCUCUGCCUGCCCCUUCCUGCCAAGGCCUGAGUGCUGAGAAGGCUGUCUCCAUUUCUCCUCGCCUCCAUUCAGUAAGCGGUGGCUCAUCCCCUAAUGCAAUAAGCAGGAGCACGUGUGUAUCCGCCGGAGAGCUGGGCUGGCACCAGGCUCAGUUUCCAUAACCUCAGGGCAAGGUGAGGAAGCACGGCCUCUGAAUCAGGCCCCAGACUGUGAAAUGGAAAAUCUAAUCACCCCUGCCCUGGAGGAAAAGAUGCAGGGUGCAUGGCAUCACUGCCUUAAGGGAAUAGUCCUCUCCUUGGGGACAGAGUCAAAGGGUGACUUUAUUUCUGUCUAAAAUGAGUUCAUAAAAUCAUAUGCAAGGAAGAUGAUAUGAAAAUGGAUCUUUUGUUCAUGUUUGCAUGUAUCACAGGCCCAAGCAUGGACUUUUGUAGCCUGUGGGUGUGCACUACAUCUGGUUUUUGACUUGUAUUAUAAAAGAUAAGAAAUAUUGUAAAAUGUCUUGUUUCUCAGAUGCUACUAAUAAUCACAAAAAGAUAUGAGUUUGAAGUGAUUGUCUGGCAUUCAAAUUUCUCUUUAGGGGGGAAGUAUAUCAAUAUUAAAGUGGCUUAGUC
Molecule: long non-coding RNA, 897 nt
Filed under: Capra hircus (goat)
Lineage: Eukaryota; Metazoa; Chordata; Mammalia; Artiodactyla; Bovidae
Description: lncRNA (ENSCHIG00010030873.1)
Source: RNAcentral